Molecule: long non-coding RNA, 6125 nt
Filed under: Marmota monax (woodchuck)
Lineage: Eukaryota; Metazoa; Chordata; Mammalia; Rodentia; Sciuridae
Source: RNAcentral
GAAAUGCAAAUCAAAACCACCCUAAGAUACCAUCUCACUCCAGUAAGAUUGGCAGCCAUUAUGAAGUCAAACAACAACAAGUGCUGGAGAGGAUGUGGGGAAAAGGGUACUCUUGUACAUUGCUGGUGGGACUGCAAACUGGUGCGGCCAAUUUGGAAAGCAGUAUGGAGAUUCCUGGGAAAGCUGGGAAUGGAACCACCAUUUGACCCAGCUAUUGCCCUUCUCGGACUAUUCCCUGAAGACCUUAAAAGAGCGUACUACAGGGAUACUGCCACAUCGAUGUUCAUAGCAGCACAAUUCACAAUUGCUAGACUGUGGAACCAACCCAGAUGCCCUUCAAUAGAUGAAUGGAUUAAAAAAAUGUGGCAUUUAUACACCAUGGAGUAUUACGCAGCACUAAAAAAUGACAAAAUCAUGGAAUUUGCAGGGAAAUGGAUGGCACUAGAGCAGAUUAUGCUUAGUGAAGCUAGCCAAUCCCUAAAAAACAAAUAUCAAAUGUCUUCUUUGAUAUAAUGAGAGCAACUAAGAACAGAGCAGGGAGGAAGAGCAGGAAGAAAAGAUUAACAUUAAACAGAGACAUGAGGUGGGAGAGAAAGGGAGAGAAAAGGGAAAUUACAUGGUAAUGGAGGGAGACCCUCAUUGUUAUACAAAAUUACAUAUAAGAGGUUGUGAGGGGAAUGGGAAAAUAAUCAAGGAGAGAAAUGAAUUACAGUAGAUGGGGUAGAGAGAGAAGAUGGGAGGGGAGUGGAGGGGGGAUAGUAGAGGAUAGGAAAGGUAGCAGAAUACAACAGUUACUAAUAUGGCAUUAUGUAAAAAUGUGGAUGUGUAACUGAUGUGAUUCUGCAAUCUGUAUUUGGGGUAAAAUUGGGAGUUCAUAACCAACUUGAAUCUAAUGUAUGAAAUAUGAUAUGUCAAGAGCUUUGUAAUGUUUUGAACAACCAAUAAAAAAAAAGGUUUGGUGUAAUCCUGGAAGCUGGAAAGUCUAAACAGCAUGGCACCAGUGUUUGCUGAGGGCUCUGGCUAUAUUACAACAUUAUGAAUGUUAGGAGUUAAUGGGAGAGCAGUGAGCUUCAUGAAGAGGAAAUCACUUGGCAAAAAAAAUGGAAGCAAGAGAAUAUGGAGGGGGUUGAGUCUCAUUCUUUGAUGAAAACUACUUUCAGAAACUAACCUACUCUAAGACACCAGCAUUAAUCCUUUCAGUACGGUAAGGCCCUAAUUAUCUCUUUUAAAGGUCCCAGCACUACUGUUAAAUUGGAGACCAAGCCUCCAAUACAUGAACCUUUGGGAGACAAACCAUAUCUUAAUCAUAGUAUUCCACCCUUGUCCCCAAAGUUUACGUCCUCAUAAUGCAAAAUGCAUAUACUAUACAGUAAAAGAAAACUCAUUCCAGCACCAGCUUUAAAGUCCAAGAUCUCAUCUGAGACUCAAGGAAAAUGUCUUCCAGCUGUGAGACUGUAAAAUCAAAAUCUUGCUUUCAGGUUACAUACUCGCAAGAUUCAAUGGUGGAUCAAGCAUUAAACAUUUCUAUUCCAAGAGAGUAAUAAUCAACUACAGUCAGUUCAUAUGUCCCACACAAGUCUGAAACCAAACAGGGCAGAGAUUAGAUCUUAAAACUAGAGAAUAAUUUCUUUUGACUCUCAAGUCUAUUAUCCUGUGUACAUUGGGGCCGGGGUAAACUCCUAGGGUCUUCGGCAGCCCUGCACAUGUGGCUUUGCUGAUCUCAAGCCCAUGUGGCUGCUUUUAUGGUUUGGAGUUGGGUGCCUUUGUUUUUACCAUGCUGCGGUUCUAUGUUGUCAGUGGCUUUCCCUUGUGGUCCUGAGGGUAAUGGUUCUGCUCUCUCAGUUUCACUAGAAUUAUGCUAAGGAUUUCUCCCUGGGUGCCCAUGCUUUUCUUUGAAAUCUUGGUGGGAGCCCCUGUAACCCUACAGCUAUUAUAUUUUGUUUGCCUGCAGAAUUAGCAUAAAAGUUUAUUUAGCUUGCAGCCUGUUAUGUCUAGAGUGUCAGUAUGAGCCAUACCUGAGACUUUUGAGCUACUGCUGGGGCAGACAAGUGCUGCAGCAGAGUUCCAGGAGCAGAAUUUCCAAGUGACCCUGGGCAGGGGGUACAUGGAAAGCAUCCCAGGGCAUUCCUGCAAACCAUUCUGCCUUCCUUGUUCUCUGGUCUGGGAGGGGUUACCUCAUAUAUUUCUAAUAAUGCCUCUAAGGCUUUUUUCCCACUGUCCUAAUGCACAGUACCUGGCACCCCUUUAUCCAUGCUAAUCUCUUUAGCAAGCAGUUGCAUUGCUGCACCCUUACAUGUCAAUUUUUGCUCAUUCCCAGGCUGCAAAAUUUUCACUGUACUUUCCUUUGUCCUCAGAUCUCACAUUAAAUCUCAUUGGAUAUGAGCAGUAGUACAUACAGGACACCAAAUGUAUUUUGUCAGAUACCCUGUGUUAUCUCUUUUUGUUUUCAAAAUAUAAAGAUUUUAUUAGUUGCUCAUGACAAUAUAAUGAUCUUGACAUAUCAUACAUUUGAAUCAAAUGGGGUAUGAAUUCUCAUUUUUCCAAGUGUACAGGUUGCAGGAUCUCAUUGGUUAUACGGCCACAUACAUACAUACAGCAGUACUAGUGUUUAUUUUAUUCUUCUGCCCUUCCUAUCACCCCUUCCCCUCCCCUCCCCUCCCAUCACCUCUCUCUACCCAAUCUAAUGUGACACAUUUCUCUCUUUUUUUUCUUCCCCCUCACAUCAUCAUACCUGUGUUAUCUCUUAAGUUUAGCCAUCAGCAAAGCUCUAGCGCAUUGAUAUAAUACAUCCACAUUCUUUGAAGUUUACAAGGAUGGCUUUUACUCCAACUUACAGUAGAAUAUUUUUCAUUUCCAUUUCAGACCUUCUCAGAAUCAUCUUUACUGUUGACAUUUCUAUCAGCAUUCUGGCCAUGACCACUUAAGCAAUCUCCAGGAAGUUCUAGCUUUUCCUAAGGCUACUUGUCUUCUGAACCUUCACCAGAAUAACUUAUAACAUUCCAUGCGCAGAAUUCUAAGCUAUUUUCACAUUUUCAGUUAUUGUUAAAGCAACAACCCCACUCCUCAGUAUCAAUUCUCUCUUUGUUAAUUUUGAGUUGCUAUCACAAUACCUGAGUCGAUGUACUUUAUAAGAAAAGAAGCUUAUUUACCCCCUGAUUCUGAUGGCUAAAAAGUCCAAAUAGCAUGGCCCUGGCACCUGUCAAGGGUUCCCAGGCUACAUCACAAUAUGGCAGAUGACAUCACAUGGCAGGACUGACUCCAAGAACAGUGAGCUACAUGCAGAAGAAAUCACAUGGUGAGAGAGGAAGCAAGAGAAUGAGGAAGGGUUAGGCUCACUUUUUAAUAACAGCCCAUUCUCUGGAGAAGUAACCUACUCCAAAACCAGCAUUAAUCCUUUCAGGAAGGUAAUGUCCCCAUCACCUAAUUAUCUUCUUUAGCGGGCCCCCACCUCAGUGCUAUUACAUUAAUAGUUAAGCCUCCAGAACAUGAGUCAUUGAGGGAAAAACCACAUUCAAACCAUUGCAAUAUUACUUUUAAAUCAGAUAACCUUAUAUAGUCUUAUAUGACUCCCUGAAAAAAGCAAACAAACGAAAUCACUCAACUCUGUCCACAUUGCAGGGAACAGGCAGUCCAAUUUGUUUGCACCCUCAGAGAUUAUAUGGUUUAUGUAAUUCCUACCCUGUUCAUGUUGUGAUUGAUACAGGGUGAUGUAGUAGAUACCUGCUGUCUAAUGCUUGAUCUAGUUAAAAGGUUUUUUUAAAUUAUCAAUACCGUUUUUAAAUGCCAACCCACCAAUCCUAUAUAGAUGGCAGUUAGUGUUAUACAUGUCCAAGUAGACACCAGACAUUCAUCUUAAGGCUAUACAUCUGUUGCUAACAUUAGUACUAUUCAUAGCUCCUCCUUUCGUCUGAGGGUCUCCAAAGUGUUUGGGACACUUCAGUGAAAUUUGACAGAGCGAAGAUCCUACUGCAGAGCCAAGUAAUAGCAAAUAUCACCUGACACACUAUGUAGGCCCACCUGAACCUCAACAUUACUUUACAACAUAGAACUGGGGAGGCAAAAACCCAAACCAGCAACCAGGCCCCAAGAAACAACAAUCAGAGGGGGUCCUCAGAUUACACGCCUGGCCAUUUACUGAUAUAUCAAAAACAGGUACUAGAACCAAAAAGAUAACCACACACAAAAGGAUGUGAAUGUAAAAAGAGGAAGGGAAAUUCAUCUCAAUUGUGCAAGUUCAAGACCUCUGAAAACAUGAAGAAAUAGGCAAACAAAUCUCCCCCCAAAUUCACAAUUCCCCAACAAAGGAUUCCCACAAAUAUAGAAGUGGGUAAAAUUCCAGAGAAAGAUUGUAAAAAAUGAUUAUUAAAAUGUUCAAUGGACUAAGAAGAUCUAAGGAAUGGAUUAAGAGAACAAAUAGAGGAGAUGACUCAUCUCAGUAAAGAAACAUUAAAAAAGAAACCAAUCAGAACUCUUAGAAAUGAAUGAUACUAUGAAUCAAAUAAAAAAUUCACUUGAAAGCAUCACCGUCAGAUUAGAUUGCAUAGAAAGUAGAAUUUUAGCCUUGAAGACAGAAUUUCAAACCUUGAAGACAGUGUGUAUGAACUUGAAUACUCAGUCUGUACUAAAGGGAAAAAAAGAGACCAUGGGCAGACUAUACAAGAACUCUAGGACAACAGCAAGAUAUCAAACUUGAGAGUCAAUGGAAUAGAAGAGAACAUGGAGAUACAGGCUAAAAAUAUUAACAUUUUCAAUGGGAUAGUCAGAAAUCUUUCCCAAUAUUAUAAAUUGUAUAGACAUCAACAUACAUAACCCCAAAUAGGAUCAGAAGAAAACUCCAAGACAUAAUCAAAAUGCCUAACAUAUAAAGAAAAAAUAUUAAAAACUAGAAGAAAAACAUCAGGUCACAUUUAGAAACACACCAAUAAGGCUUAUCACUGACUUCUCAAUUCAGACCCUAAAAUUAAGGAGAGAAUGAAAUAUUCCAAGCUGUAAAAGAAAACAAUUGCCUCAGAAGGUGCACACAGGAGAGAAACACUUCCAGUGUAAUGAAUGUGGAAAAACUUCCUGGGAAAAAUCAAACCUCACUAAACAUCAGAGAUCCUACACAGGAGAGAAACUAUGAAUGCAAUGACUGUGGGAAAGCCUUUAGUCACAAAUCAAUCCUUUAUGCUAUACCGGAGGACACAUAGAGAGGGAAAACUCUAUCAUUAUACUGCAUGUUGGAAAACUUGUGCCAGAAGUCAGACCUCACUAAACUUCAGAGAACACACACAGGGCUGAAACCCUAUGAAUGUGGCAAGUCCUUCUCUAUGCAUUCACACCUUAUAGUAUAUCAGAGAACUUACAUAGGUGAGAAACCUUUGAGUGCCUGGAAUGUGGGAAAUCAUGUUGUCAAAGUCACAUCUUACUUGGCAUGGGAGAACCCAUAUAGGGGAUAAACCCUAUGCAUGUAAUGCUUGUGGAGAAACUGUGAGAAUCAUAAAGUAUUAGAUAGUUCAAACAGGGUUAGAACUUUUUGAAUGUGAGAAAAACUUAUGCUUAAAGCCAGACCUCACAGUAUGUCAGAGAACUCACAUUGGAGAGAAACCCUUUGCAUGUCCUGUGUGUGGCAAAUUCUUCAGCCAUAAAUCAACCCUCUCUCAACAUUAUAGAACACAUACAGAAGAGAGACUAUUUGAAUGUCAUGAAUAUGGGAAAUUUUUUUUUACAACAAAUCAUACCUAACUAAACACAACAGAACGAAUUGAGGAGAGAAACCUGAGGAAUGCAACAAAUGUGAGAAAAACUGCCAGAAAUUACAGCUAACUUAGCAUCAGAGAAUUUACUUAGGGGAGAAAUUAUAUAAAUGUACUGAAGGUGGAAAACGUUUCUGCUAUAAGUUUGCUAUAAUUUUAUAUCAGAGAACCCAUAUAGAAGAAAAGUCCUAUAAAUGUAAUGUAAAAUAAAUGUAAUGUGAAAAACUCUUCUGCUGGAAUUCAGGAUUUAUUUUGUAUCAGAGAAACACACAGGAGAGAAACCCUAUGAUGAAUAUGGGAAAUCAUUUUAUGCAAAUGAUCUCUCAGAAUGUAUCACAGGGCUCAUAUGGGAGAAAUCUUGUCAGUGUAUUGCAUGUGGGAAAGUCUUCC